GUGCCACUGAAGAAUCCCACAAUAGGACGAAACAGCCUUCCAGUAC
Molecule: non-coding RNA, 46 nt
Filed under: Schistosoma mansoni
Lineage: Eukaryota; Metazoa; Platyhelminthes; Trematoda; Strigeidida; Schistosomatidae
Source: RNAcentral